This 278-nucleotide ribosomal RNA is filed under the name Ranitomeya ventrimaculata (Amazonian poison frog). Its description in RNAcentral is "partial 12S ribosomal RNA". It matches the Rfam family "Bacterial small subunit ribosomal RNA", at positions 875 to 1294 of the family's 1533-position model. Lineage: Eukaryota; Metazoa; Chordata; Amphibia; Anura; Dendrobatidae. The record is from RNAcentral.
GGGAACUACGAGCCAAGCUUAAAACCCAAAGGACUUGACGGUACCCCAUAUCCCCCUAGAGGAGCCUGUCCUAUAAUCGAUAACCCCCGUUUAACCUCACCAUUUUUAGCAACUCAGCCUGUAUACCUCCGUCGUCAGCUUACCACGUGAGCGCUAGUGAGCUCAAUGUUUUUCCAACUAAACGUCAGGUCAAGGUGCAACACAUGAAAUGGGAAGAGAUGGGCUACACUUUCUANAAUAGAUCACACGGAAGACUAACUAUGAAAUCUAGUCAGAAG